GAUGAAGAACGUAGCGAAAUGCGAUACGUAAUGUGAAUUGCAGAAUUCAGUGAAUCAUCGAGUCUUUGAACGCACAUUGCGCCCCCUGGUAUUCCGGGGGGCAUGCCUGUCCGAGCGUCAUUGCUGCCCUCAAGCACGGCUUGUGUGUUGGGCCUCCGCCCCCCGGCUCCCGGGGGGCGGGCCCGAAAGGCAGCGGCGGCACCGCGUCCGGUCCUCGAGCGUAUGGGGCUUCGUCACCCGCUCCGUAGGCCCGGCCGGCGCCCGCCGGCGACCCCCCUCAAUCUUUCCAGGUUGACCUCGGAUCAGGUAGGGAUACCCGCUGAACUUAAGCAUAUCAAAAGCGGAGA
This 347-nucleotide unclassified non-coding RNA is filed under the name soil metagenome. RNAcentral describes it as "partial contains 5.8S ribosomal RNA, internal transcribed spacer 2, and large subunit ribosomal RNA". The stretch from base 1 to 120 matches the Rfam family "5.8S ribosomal RNA", at positions 35 to 154 of the family's 154-position model. The record is from RNAcentral.